RNAcentral lists this long non-coding RNA (483 nucleotides) under Cyanistes caeruleus (blue tit). RNAcentral describes it as "lncRNA (ENSCCEG00000003024.1)". The record is from RNAcentral. Lineage: Eukaryota; Metazoa; Chordata; Aves; Passeriformes; Paridae.
CCGACAGCAGCUCGCUGACCAUGUCUGCCCUUUUCCCGCUCAUCCCCCAGGUCAGUCACCUUCUCCAUGUGCAUUGAUUCCAACCCCACCACCCACCCCACCCUUCCCUGACCUCCUCUGCCCCUGCAGCUCAGCCGGGUGCUCCCUGGCUCUCUGCCACUGGAGCUGCGUGUCCGAGUAAGCAACGAGCCGGUGGUGACUGUGAGGGAUGGAAGAGCCACCGUCACCCUCAAGGCCACAAUCGACUUCAUCAGUCCUGCCCUGCAGAGCCCCCAGGGGCUCCUGUUCUCCCUCGAUGUGGACAUCGUUCUGAACAUCACUCCAUCAGUCUCUGAUGGCAAACUGCAAACCUCCCUGGCUCUUGACAGCAUCAACCUGACACGUUUCCCCCCGAGUCUCGACGCUCCCGCUGCCUCCUCGCUCACAGAAUGGCUCAAGAAGGUCCUCACAGCUAUAUAUGUACCUUCUCUUAAAGGUAUGGGG